RNAcentral lists this transfer RNA (21 nucleotides) under Hoplophyllum spinosum. RNAcentral's name for it is "partial tRNA-Phe". Lineage: Eukaryota; Viridiplantae; Streptophyta; Magnoliopsida; Asterales; Asteraceae. The record is from RNAcentral.
UCGGGAUAGCUCAGAUGGUAG